RNAcentral lists this ribosomal RNA (801 nucleotides) under uncultured bacterium. Its description in RNAcentral is "bacterial SSU rRNA". It matches the Rfam family "Bacterial small subunit ribosomal RNA", at positions 70 to 843 of the family's 1533-position model. The record is from RNAcentral.
GAAGCCUCCUUCGGGAGGUUAGUAGACCGGCGGACGGGUGCGUAACACGUGAGCAACCUGCCUGGUAGAUGGGGACAACCCGGGGAAACCCGGGCUAAUACCCAAUGAAUGUGGUUUCUUCGAGUGUAGAGAUCACUAAAGGGGGCGUCUUUUCACGGAGCUCUCGCUUCCAGAUGGGCUCGCGGCCUAUCAGCUUGUUGGUGAGGUAACGGCUCACCAAGGCGAUGACGGGUAGCUGGUUUAAGCGGAUGAUCAGCCACACGGGGACUGAGACACGGCCCCGACUCCUACGGGAGGCAGCAGUGGGGAAUUUUGGACAAUGGGCGAAAGCCUGAUCCAGCGACGCCGCGUGCGGGAGGAAGCCCCUCGGGGUGUAAACCGCUGUCAGGGGGGAAGAACAGGUUCGGACGAAUAAUCCGGAUCACUGACGGUACCUCCAGAGGAAGCGCCGGCUAACUCCGUGCCAGCAGCCGCGGUAAUACGGAGGGCGCAAGCGUUGUCCGGAAUUACUGGGCGUAAAGGGGGCGCAGGCGGCUUGCUAAGUCCUGUGUGAAAGCCCGCGGCUCAACCGCGGAAAUGCACUAGAUACUGGCGAGCUUGAGACGGGUAGAGGCGAGUGGAAUUCCCGGUGUAGCGGUGGAAUGCGUAGAUAUCGGGAAGAACACCAGUGGCGAAGGCGACUCGCUGGGCCCGUUCUGACGCUCAGGCCCGAAAGCGUGGGGGAGCAAACAGGAUUAGAUACCCUGGUAGUCCACGCCGUAAACGAUGGGCACUAGGUGCUGGGGAGUGUGACCUCUUCGG